CCAAUAGCGUAUAUUAAAGUUGUUGCAGUUAAAAAGCUCGUAGUUGAAUUUCGGGAUCAAUUAAUUGGUCGUGCCUCUGGUACGUACUAAUUUUAUUGGUUUCUCCCUUCUGAAGAACCAUGAUGUCAUUAAUUUGGUGUCGUGGAGAAUCAGGACUGUUACUUUGAAAAAAUUAGAGUGUUUAAAGCAAGCUAACGCUU
This 200-nucleotide ribosomal RNA is filed under the name uncultured Glomus. Its description in RNAcentral is "partial small subunit ribosomal RNA". It matches the Rfam family "Eukaryotic small subunit ribosomal RNA", at positions 591 to 796 of the family's 1831-position model. The record is from RNAcentral. Lineage: Eukaryota; Fungi; Glomeromycota; Glomeromycetes; Glomerales; Glomeraceae.